Molecule: ribosomal RNA, 440 nt
Filed under: uncultured bacterium
Lineage: Bacteria
Description: partial 16S ribosomal RNA
Rfam family: Bacterial small subunit ribosomal RNA
Source: RNAcentral
CCUACGGGAGGCAGCAGGGCGGAAUCUUGCGCAAUGCCCGAAAGGGUGACGCAGCGACGCCGCGUGAGGGAUGAAGCUCUUCGGGGUGUAAACCUCUUUUGCAGGGGAAGAAUUCUGACGGUACCCUGCGAAUAAGUCCCGGCCAAUUACGUGCCAGCAGCCGCGGUAAAACGUGAGGGACGAACGUUGUCCGGAAUCACUGGGCGUAAAGGGUACGCAGGCGGUGGAGAAAGUCGGGUGUGAAAGCCUCAGGCUCAACCGGAGGGGGACGCCCGAUACUUCUCCACUUGAGGAAGGGAGAGGGAGGUGGAAUUCCCGGUGUAGCGGUGAAAUGCGCAGAUAUCGGGAGGAACACCAGUGGCGAAGGCGGCCUCCAACCCCUUUCCUGACGCUCAGGUACGAAAGCAAGGGGAGCGAACCGGAUUAGAUACCCCUGUAGU